RNAcentral lists this ribosomal RNA (301 nucleotides) under uncultured bacterium. RNAcentral's name for it is "partial 16S ribosomal RNA". It matches the Rfam family "Bacterial small subunit ribosomal RNA", at positions 509 to 809 of the family's 1533-position model. The record is from RNAcentral.
CAGUCGCCACGGGAAAACGUAGGGUGCGAGCGUUAAUCGGAAUUACUGGGCGUAAAGCGUGCGUAGGCGGUUUGUUAAGUCUGCUGUGAAAUCCCCGGGCUCAACCUGGGAACGGCAGUGGAUACUGGCAAGCUAGAGUCUUGUAGAGGGGGGUAGAAUUCCAGGUGUAGCGGUGAAAUGCGUAGAGAUCUGGAGGAAUACCGGUGGCGAAGGCGGCCCCCUGGACAAAGACUGACGCUCAGGUGCGAAAGCGUGGGGAGCAAACAGGAUUAGAUACCCCAGUAGUCCCUGUCUCUUAUAA